GGUACAGAAAUAAAUAUAAAUUUUAAGAGGGUAUUCGUGCAAAUUUGAAUUUUUAGAAGGAUAUUCAUGCAAAAAAUCCUAAUAUAUAUAUAGAAUAAAAAAUGAAAUAAAUUUUAAUGCUUAGGUCAUUGCAAAAUGUGGUCUUGCAUCAUUUUAAUUAUUCAAUUUUGCACCCAUUUCAAGCAUAGGUUAGAGACAACGAAAGCACAAGAUUUUUUAUUUGUAAGCAUUUUUAGCGAUAAAGAUCAUGAUCAACAACGUGGAUUUUUUAAAUUUGGAUGCCCCAUUAUUGAUUUCAGACUUAGAGAAGUAGAUAGAUAAAUAGAUAUGAUCACUAUCUACAUAUAUUAAGACAUAUAAAAAUAUAGUAAAGCACAUUAUCCAGUUAUGGUCCCAACAAUCCGAGAUCCUG
RNAcentral lists this long non-coding RNA (412 nucleotides) under Phoenix dactylifera (date palm). Its description in RNAcentral is "long non-coding RNA (PDAC_LNC020274)". Lineage: Eukaryota; Viridiplantae; Streptophyta; Magnoliopsida; Arecales; Arecaceae. The record is from RNAcentral.